RNAcentral lists this ribosomal RNA (1460 nucleotides) under metagenome. RNAcentral describes it as "SSU rRNA". It matches the Rfam family "Eukaryotic small subunit ribosomal RNA", at positions 291 to 1801 of the family's 1831-position model. The record is from RNAcentral.
UCGUUCAUUCAAAUUUCUGCCCUAUCUAGCUCUGAUGGUAGUGUAGUGGACUACCAUGGCAUUGACGGGUGACGGGGAAUUAGGGUUCGAUUCCGGAGAAGUGGCCUUAAAAACGGCCAUUAUAUCUAAGGAAAGCAGCAGGCGCGAAAAUUUUCCAAUCCUGAUACAGGGAGAAAGUGACAUUUACUAACGAUGGUGGGCCUUUUGGGUUCGCUAAUCGGACUGAGGACGGGUUAAAGUUUCUAUCGAUAUCAACUGGAGGGCAAGUCUGGUGCCAGCAGCCGCGGUAAUUCCAGCUCCAGUAGCGUAUACUAAUAUUGUUGCAGUUAAAUAGCUCGUAGUUGGAUUUUUGGGCGAUGUUCGUGGACCCGGCCCUUCACGGGGUUUGUGGUUCAAGACUUGUCCAUUCGUCUCGUUAGCAAUAACGGGGCCUUUUACUUUGAAUAAAUUGGGGUGCUCAAAACAGCCCUUUUGGGCGGAACACCUCAGCAUGGAAUAACGCAAUAGGACUCUUCGUCUGCUGCGAUUGGUUCACACGAAGUGGUAAUGAUUGAUAGGGGCCAUUGGGGGCGCUAGUAUUUCGAAAACAGAGGUGAAAUUCUUGGACCUUCGAAAGACUGACUGAUGCGAAAGCGUUCGCCCAGGGGGCCUUCUUUAAUCAAGAACGAAAGUUGGGGGAUCAAAGACGAUCAGAUACCGUCGUAGUCUCAACUAUAAACUAUGCCAACCAGGAAUCAGCAGAUGGCGUAUCUAAAGCCGCUGUUGGAGCCUUAAGGGAAACCAGAGUUUUCGGGUUCCGGGGGGAGUAUGGUCGCAAGGCUGAAACUUAAAGGAAUUGACGGAAGGGCACCACCAGAAAUGGAGCCUGCGGCUUAAUUUGACCCAACACGGGAAAACUUACCAGGUCCAGUCAGAGCGAGGAUUGACAGGUUGAAGACCUUUCUUGAUUCUUUGGUUGGUAGUGCAUGGCCGUUCUUAGUUGGUGGAGUGAUUUGUCUGGUUAAUUCCGUUAACGAACGAGACCUCCGCGGUGUUAAAUAGGCCCAUUCAUCUUUAUGGAUGUGGUCUUCUUAGCCGGACUAUCGGUGUUUAGCCGGUGGAAGCUGGAGGCAAUAACAGGUCCGUGAUGCUCCUAGACGUUCUGGGCCGCACGCGCGCUACAAUGAUUCGUUCAGCGGGCUUUCCUCCUGGUUUGAGAGAACUGGGGAAUCCUUUGAAAGCGAAUCGUGCUGGGGAUUGAUCAUUGCAAUUAUUGGUCAUCAACGAGGAAUUUCUAGUAAACGCGUGUCAUCAGCACGCAUUGAUUACGUCCCUGCCCUUUGUACACACCGCCCGUCGCUACUACCGAUGGAUGACUUAGUGAGGUUCAAGGAGCCUGAACUUGGGGGGUCAAACUCCUGGGGGAUAGCGAAUUGAAACAAACUUGAUUAUCUAGAGGAAGUAAAAGUCGUAACAAGGUA